AUCUCGGUGCCAUGAGCGGUGUGGAACCACCUUUUCCCAUUCCGAACAAAGAAGUGAAACGCGCCAGCGCCGAUGGUACUUCGUCCAUGUGGCGGGGGAGAGUAGGUCGGUGCCGAGUUA
This 120-nucleotide ribosomal RNA is filed under the name Parcubacteria bacterium SCGC AAA011-A09. The record is from RNAcentral. Lineage: Bacteria; Candidatus Parcubacteria.